RNAcentral lists this ribosomal RNA (458 nucleotides) under uncultured bacterium. RNAcentral describes it as "partial 16S ribosomal RNA". It matches the Rfam family "Bacterial small subunit ribosomal RNA", at positions 355 to 803 of the family's 1533-position model. The record is from RNAcentral.
UGGGGAAUAUUGCACAAUGGGCGCAAGCCUGAUGCAGCCAUGCCGCGUGUGUGAAGAAGGCCUUCGGGUUGUAAAGCACUUUCAGCGAGGAGGAAGGUGGUGAGCUUAAUACGCUCAUCAAUUGACGUUACUCGCAGAAGAAGCACCGGCUAACUCCGUGCCAGCAGCCGCGGUAAUACGGAGGGUGCAAGCGUUAAUCGGAAUUACUGGGCGUAAAGCGCACGCAGGCGGUUUGUUAAGUCAGAUGUGAAAUCCCCGGGCUCAACCUGGGAACUGCAUUUGAAACUGGCAAGCUAGAGUCUCGUAGAGGGGGGUAGAAUUCCAGGUGUAGCGGUGAAAUGCGUAGAGAUCUGGAGGAAUACCGGUGGCGAAGGCGGCCCCCUGGACGAAGACUGACGCUCAGGUGCGAAAGGCGUGGGGCAGCAAACAGGAUUAGAUACCCUGGUAGUCCACGCUGU